This 500-nucleotide ribosomal RNA is filed under the name Prosotas nora. RNAcentral's name for it is "partial 16S ribosomal RNA". The record is from RNAcentral. Lineage: Eukaryota; Metazoa; Arthropoda; Insecta; Lepidoptera; Lycaenidae.
AUACCCAGAACUCUGCGCGCGUACGUUUGGCUCCUGUCUGCGUAUGGGGGGAUGGCAGCCAUCAGUUUUUUGCAUUUAUUUAGCUUCCCCUCCUUUCCUUUUUAAUACGUCAUGAUUGAUUUUUUUAUUGAGAUAGAAAGCCAUGCAUAAACUCAGCAACUACGUAAUCUAGUCUGCCCAUCGGCUCAGGGUUAACGGGCUCGCAGUCAUUUGACUGUACGAGGGUGCCAUAAUCAUUAGUCUUUUAAUUGAAGACUUGUAUGAGGGAUUUGAUGAGAUAUAAACUGUCUCUAAUUUAAUAAUAUAAUUUAAUUUUUUAGUUAAAAAACUAAAAUAAUUUUAAAAGACGAUAAGACCCUAUAGAGUUUAAUGGUUGAAAAUGAAAAUAUUUCUAUAAAAUCUAAUUACUCUAUUUUAAAAAUUAUUUUAUUGGGGGGAUAAAACUGUACGAGGGUGCCAUAAUCAUUAGUCUUUUAAUUGAAGACUUGUAUGAGGGAUUU